CACAACAUGUAAUAUUAGUUUCGU
RNAcentral lists this non-coding RNA (24 nucleotides) under Arabidopsis thaliana (thale cress). The record is from RNAcentral. Lineage: Eukaryota; Viridiplantae; Streptophyta; Magnoliopsida; Brassicales; Brassicaceae.